This 72-nucleotide transfer RNA is filed under the name Toxocara canis (dog roundworm). It matches the Rfam family "tRNA". Rfam says of the family: Transfer RNA (tRNA) molecules are approximately 80 nucleotides in length. Their secondary structure includes four short double-helical elements and three loops (D, anti-codon, and T loops). Further hydrogen bonds mediate the characteristic L-shaped molecular structure. tRNAs have two regions of fundamental functional importance: the anti-codon, which is responsible for specific mRNA codon recognition, and the 3' end, to which the tRNAs corresponding amino acid is attached (by aminoacyl-tRNA synthetases). tRNAs cope with the degeneracy of the genetic code in two manners: having more than one tRNA (with a specific anti-codon) for a particular amino acid; and 'wobble' base-pairing, i.e. permitting non-standard base-pairing at the 3rd anti-codon position. The record is from Rfam by way of RNAcentral. Lineage: Eukaryota; Metazoa; Nematoda; Chromadorea; Rhabditida; Toxocaridae.
CAGGCAAUAUCUCAGUGGUAGAGCUCCGGCUUCAUAUGCGGGAGGACCUGGGUUCGAUUCCUGGUUGCUUAU